Molecule: ribosomal RNA, 490 nt
Filed under: uncultured bacterium
Lineage: Bacteria
Description: partial 16S ribosomal RNA
Rfam family: Bacterial small subunit ribosomal RNA
Source: RNAcentral
AUUGAACGCUGGCGGCAGGCCUAACACAUGCAAGUCGAACGGUAACAGGAAGCAGCUUGCUGCUUUGCUGACGAGUGGCGGACGGGUGAGUAAUGUCUGGGAAACUGCCCGAUGGAGGGGGAUAACUACUGGAAACGGUAGCUAAUACCGCAUAACGUCGCAAGACCAAAGAGGGGGACCUUAGGGCCUCUUGCCAUCGGAUGUGCCCAGAUGGGAUUAGCUAGUAGGUGGGGUAACGGCUCACCUAGGCGACGAUCCCUAGCUGGUCUGAGAGGAUGACCAGCCACACUGGAACCGAGACACGGUCCAGACUCCUACGGGAGGCAGCAGUGGGGAAUAUUGCACAAUGGGCGCAAGCCUGAUGCAGCCAUGCCGCGUGUAUGAAGAAGGCCUUCGGGUUGUAAAGUACUUUCAGCGGGGAGGAAGGGAGUAAAGUUAAUACCUUUGCUCAUUGACGUUACCCGCAGAAGAAGCACCGGCUAACUCCGUG